CCUACGGGCGGCAGCAGUGGGGAAUAUUGGACAAUGGGGGCAACCCUGAUCCAGCCAUGCCGCGUGUGUGAAGAAGGCCCUCGGGUUGUAAAGCACUUUCAGUGAGGAAGAACGCCUGGUGGUUAAUACCCAUCAGGAAAGACAUCACUCACAGAAGAAGCACCGGCUAACUCCGUGCCAGCAGCCGCGGUAAUACGGAGGGGGCGAGCGUUAAUCGGAAUUACUGGGCGUAAAGCGCGCGUAGGUGGCUUGAUAAGCCGGUUGUGAAAGCCCCGGGCUCAACCUGGGAACGGCAUCCGGAACUGUCAAGCUAGAGUGCAGGAGAGGAAGGUAGAAUUCCCGGUGUAGCGGUGAAAUGCGUAGAGAUCGGGAGGAAUACCAGUGGCGAAGGCGGCCUUCUGGACUGACACUGACACUGAGGUGCGAAAGCGUGGGUAGCAAACAGGAUUAGAUACCCGGGUAGUC
Molecule: ribosomal RNA, 465 nt
Filed under: Vreelandella stevensii
Lineage: Bacteria; Pseudomonadati; Pseudomonadota; Gammaproteobacteria; Oceanospirillales; Halomonadaceae
Description: partial 16S ribosomal RNA
Rfam family: Bacterial small subunit ribosomal RNA
Source: RNAcentral